Molecule: ribosomal RNA, 468 nt
Filed under: uncultured bacterium
Lineage: Bacteria
Description: partial 16S ribosomal RNA
Rfam family: Bacterial small subunit ribosomal RNA
Source: RNAcentral
GACGAACGCUGGCGGCGUGCUUAACACAUGCAAGUCGAACGGAAAGGCCCUGCUUUUGUUGGGUGCUCUAGUGGCGAACGGGUGCGUAACACGUGAGUAACUUGCCCUUGACUUUGGGAUAACGUCAGGAAACUGGGGCAAAUACCGGAUUGGAGCUCCUUCUGCAUGGUGGGGGUUGGAAAGUUUCUGCGGUUUGGGAUGGGCUCGCGGCGUAUCAGCUUGUUUGUGGAGUAGUGGCGUACCAAGGCUUUGACGGGUAGCCGGCCUGAGAGGGUGACCGGCCAAAUUGGGACUGAGAUACGGCACAGACUCCUACGGGAGGCAGCUGUAGGGACUAGAGCACGAUGGGCGGAAGCCUGAUGCAGCAACGCCGCGUUCUGGAUGACAGCCUUCGGUUAUUAAACCGCUUUCGCCUGUGACGAAGCCUGAUUGAAGGUAAUGGAUAAAGAAGCACCGGCUAACUACGUG